Molecule: ribosomal RNA, 446 nt
Filed under: uncultured bacterium
Lineage: Bacteria
Description: partial 16S ribosomal RNA
Rfam family: Bacterial small subunit ribosomal RNA
Source: RNAcentral
CCUACGGGGGGCAGCAGUAGGGAAUUUUCGGCAAUGGGGGGAACCCUGACCGAGCAACGCCGCGUGAACGAAGAAGUUAUUCGUAAUGUAAAGUUCUUUUAACAGGGAAGAAAGAGAAAUUUGACGGUACCUGAAGAAUAAGCUCUGGCUAACUACGUGCCAGCAGCCGCGGUAAUACGUAGGGAGCGGGCGUUAUCCGGAAUUAUUGGGCGAAAAGGGUGCGUAGAUGGUCUAGUAAGUCUGUUGUAAAAAUGCUGGGCUCAACCCAGUAGGGCAAAAGAUACUGCAAAGCUAGAGUAUGACAGAGGCAAGUGGAACUACAUGUGUAGCGGUAAAAUGCGUAAAUAUAUGUAAGAACACCAGUGGCGAAGGCGGCUUGCUGGGUCGAUACUGACAUUGAGGCACGAAAGCGUGGGGAGCAAACAGGAUUAGAUACCCGAGUAGUC